GCGGACGGGUGAGUAACGCGUAAGAAUCUACCUUUAGGAGGGGGACAACAGUUGGAAACGACUGCUAAUUCCCCAUAUGCUGAGGAGUGAAAUGGUGAAUAACCGCCUAAAGAUGAGCUUGCGUCUGAUUAGCUAGUUGGUAAGGUAAUAGCUUACCAAGGCGAUGAUCAGUAGCUGGUCUGAGAGGAUGAUCAGCCACACUGGGACUGAGACACGGCCCAGACUCCUACGGGAGGCAGCAGUGAGGAAUUUUCCGCAAUGGGCGAAAGCCUGACGGAGCAAUACCGCGUGGAGGAUGACGGCCUGUGGGUCUUAAACUCCUUUUCUUAGAGAAGAAAUUCUGACGGUAUCUAAGGAAUAAGCAUCGGCUAACUCCGUGCCAGCAGCCGCGGUAAUACGGGGGAUGCAAGCGUUAUCCGGAAUGAUUGGGCGUAAAGCGUCUGUAGGUGGCUUCCCAAGUCAACUGUCAAAAAUCAGGGCCUAACCUUGAGCAGGCAGUUGAAACUAUGAAGCUUGAGUUAGGUAGGGGCAGAGGGAAUUCCUAGUGUAGCGGUGAAAUGCGUAGAUAUUAGGAAGAACACCAAUCGCGAAAGCGCUCUGCUGGGCCAUGACUGACAUUGAGAGACGAAAGCUAAGGGAGCAAAUGGGAUUAGAUACCCCAGUAGUCUUAGCCGUAAACGAUGGAUACUAAGUUCUGGUCGAUUCAAAACCGUUCAGUUCUGUAGCUAACGCGUCAAGUAUCCCG
RNAcentral lists this ribosomal RNA (745 nucleotides) under uncultured bacterium. Its description in RNAcentral is "bacterial SSU rRNA". It matches the Rfam family "Bacterial small subunit ribosomal RNA", at positions 98 to 871 of the family's 1533-position model. The record is from RNAcentral.